Molecule: long non-coding RNA, 4303 nt
Organism: Brachypodium distachyon (stiff brome)
Lineage: Eukaryota; Viridiplantae; Streptophyta; Magnoliopsida; Poales; Poaceae
Exons: 2
Source: RefSeq, a predicted model, not a curated record
GGAUGGAUAUUUUGGCAACUCCAAUCCCCGAUCUCGUGCUCUCCCCGUUCCCCUCUCCUUCCCUCACCUCUCUCUCUCUCCCCCAAAUCGGCUAUCUCUCCACGCCUGCCGGCCAUGGGAACGGCAGCGGUCCCGACCUGCGCCAUGGCCACGGCGAUCUGCCAUAUUCCUGAGCUCCGGCACGACCCUUUGAGGUUGUCGUCUCUACGACGGCUCCAACGGCCCUUCGAGCUCCGCCGCCCAGUCCCCCCUGCUCCCUGAUGCAAGGAAAGGGAAUGAAAUGUAUAGAUAGGAGUAUGCGGAUGUGCUACUAUGCUGGGCGUUGGCGUUUUGUUCGUGAGAUGAACUAGUUCAGUCUCCACUACGCUCCCUGUUCGCCACAGAUCGAAGAGCAGCGCCGCCGCCCUAUCAUCGCGGCGGCUGUACGUUGCCCCCGUACACGCGGCCAGAUAGAACUGCUGCGUCGAUGGCCCGCGGUGAGGCGUCGCAGGUCAGAAUCCCUUCCAACUUAUCUACUUGUUGCAGCGCGGGCCUGCAGAUUUGUGCUUUUAGGUUUGUUAGGUUUCAAGUAAUGUAUCUGCUAAUGCUUGAGAAUGCAAUGUUGACGAAUUACAUUUGAGAAUAAUUGCUUGUGGAACAAUGGAGAAUCGGGUAGAAUUGGUAAGCAUGUACUUUGAGUAAGCUCUAGGUAAGACGCGUAUUACAAUGUUGAUUCCUCUGUUCCUAAUUCCUAAUAUUAAAUCAGAAUGGCCUAUGAUGUUCAAAGGGAAACUGCCAAACCAGCUUAUGGUGUUUCUAAUUUUUACAUUUUGAAUCCCAUUGCUUAAAACCUCUGUUGUCAGCAAAUAAAGUUAGGAGCAUUUACUGCCAAUUUACUGCCAAUAGAAAAUCAGUAAAAGAAGCCUAGCCCAAAUUUUUGUGCAAGUAUGCAGGCCCUUUUGAAAAAAUCCUGGGUCCGCCAAUAUGAACAUGAUGAACUGUGUACCACAUUUCUGUUCCCUGUAUUUUUAAAUUAGUAUCUUCUGUGCUUCCCAACUCUGUUGAGCAGUUUGAUAGUUUUUUUUGUUGCCUCAUUUGUAUCCAAGAGGGCCACUCAGUGGUUUGAAGUUGAGUUCCUGAAUGAACUGGUGUAGUUUGCCAUUGCUUUGAUUCAUGUUUCUCCUAUCAGCACUAAUUGCGUGAUUGGCCAAAUGAAAAGCAAAUUUUCCAGAUCUGACACGUCAAGUAUUGUUGAAAAAUAUGUUUUGCGUGCCGUCAGUGGAAUCGAUUGGUCUCUUGCUUCUAUAGUAUUUCAAGAGUCUAUACAACAAAUAUUCUUUGCCAAGCAGCUUGAAGAGCAUUGGACUUUAACAUAAGCAGGUACUUAUGUAGUUUUAUACAAAAAAGUAUUCUAUUAUCUGAUAAAUAAAAUGUAAAAAGGCACUCUGCAGCUAUAUUAUUGACCGUAAAAGAGGGCCCUUAGUGGACUUUAAUGUACUGCGAUAGAGUUACACUAGUAAAGUAGGCUAUACGAUUUUCUGUGUCCCUACUCUGAAGCAUUUAGGAUUCCUGACCAAAAUUAUGGCCCAAUUCUUUUUCACCACCAGAAUUGCUAGCGGUUGUUCUGCAAUAUUACUACAUUCAAAUAUUUUUUCUGAAUAAGUUAAUAGAUGAAUAGAAUUUCCAUUGCAAAUUAUUGUGAUAAUCAAGCACCUUAAGACGUUGGUGAACUAUGAGGCCUCGGGGAAGAUGUGUGAUCAACACUUUUAGUCUUCUAUAAAGUUGAUUGACAGGUGCCCGUUGAUGAGAUUAAUGAAAAUGGUAUGCAUUCAAUCAAGCACUGGUGCAUUAUUGUCGGUUUGCCAGGAACUCAUAUGGUCAUUUUAGGUAUUUCACAUGGAUCGCUGCCUCGUAGGUUGCCAGAGAAAUUUACAAGAUCUAGAUGGCAGUGAGAAAUCAUGGUGGUCUAUUCGUAACUCUUAUACAACCUGGUGAGUUCUCUAUUAAUUAUUUGUGCAUACCCAUAACAUAAUGAGGAUCUGGAUUCUAGAGUUUAUUAUUUGAAACUACUAUAUUUGUGCCAUGCCCUUACAUCUCCAUUUAUUGCUGAUAUGAGCUUCUGUAUUAAGAGAACAGCCAUAGACCCAUAGAUUUCGAGUUUGAACUCUUGUAUUUCUUUUUGCAUGUCACGUAUAUUUAGUGAUCUGUUAUAAUCUUAAUCACCUGACUACUGAAGUCACCAUAAAGUAUCAAAACAUGCGAAUAAUUGAUGACCAAAAAUAUAGUGAGUUACUACUGAUAGAUGCUUCUUAUUUUCCUUUUCCUUUUUCUUUUGGGAAUAUGUAUGACUUUACAAGUUGUAGUGCUACAAAAAUCACACUAUCCUGUGUUCAAACUUGUGGAUAGAAUUUGAAGAUUACUAAAGAGCUAUCAUUUCAUUAGUAUUUAUGCACGCUGCGGCGUUUUCGCCAGCCAGUCUUUACCAGUAAUCAGUACUGUCAUCCCCUUGGCAGGAUGGAAAUUAAGUGUUCAGAAUGGUUGACCCUAAAAACCAUAAUCCGUUGAUGUCCCUCUCGAGUUAUCAUCAUUGUAUAAUUUAUCUUUAUUCACACCCGUCAUGCGUAAUCUGUUUUUGGUAAGUCUGGGCCUUGACUGUAUUGGGUUUUAAUAACUGUUAAACAUGAAAAAUUUAGACAUGCUACUUAUUUUACAUGGGGUCAUGUGCAUAAAAUUUUCUUUAUUGCCUGGUUUACAUAUUGUUGAGUCCAUUCUUUCGAAGGAGCUAGUUCAUGCGGAAAUAUAAUUAUAUGUUGAACCUGUUUAGGCGACUGUCCUUUUUUUUCAUAUUCUUAAUUGAGAAAACAUUAUGUUUUGAGCUGUAAGCCUGCGACCUUAACCAAUCUGAGAUCGUCAGAUAAGGUUUCUAUGUGCAUAUCUUAUACUCUAAUGAAUCUUUUAAGCUAAGCGACUUUAGUUUUAUUAUCUGCCUGUUAUGUUCUUCAUUUCUUUUUUGUUUUGUAUGUCUCUCUAAUAUGUCUGUCAAGUGAGGAAGGAAUAGCUGGAAGCUGCUGGAUAACAAUUACUUCAACAAGGUCAAUUUUUAUCCAAACAUGAGCAGCUGAUGCCAGGCAAUUCAUGUCAUGCUAGUGUGUCAUUUUAGGGGUGUUCACAAUUGGUUCAUCAAAACGGUCCAAACCACGUUACUUUUUCUUAGUCAUUUUCUGGACUAACCAAAAGGUCAAACCAGUCACAUGCAUCGAUUUGUACUAGAAUUGCUGGCUGGCAGUUUGGAGGUUUCCCCCAACCUGAUUUUGAACAGUCCUAGUGACGAUGACCAGAAACUAUUGGGUGCUGUAGCAUAUAGGUUCAUGUUGUAUCUGUCCUGUACUCCAGUGUUUUCAUUAUUUACAUUUGAUGCUUUUGGCAAUAACAGAUGUUGUAGGAUGCGAUAAUAGGCUGCUUCAUUAUGUAACAUGUGUAUCAUCAAUUAUAUCAACACAAAGUUUUCACGCCCAACAUGCCAAGCAUGACAUUGAGGCCUGGUGGUCUCGUAUAUAUUGGUGUCGUCAUGAGCCUGCUGCUCUCCGACAAAAAGUAGCUAUGUAUCUUUUCAGUUACAAGGAUUGUCAUGGUACUACUCCUAGCAUGCAGAGGCACUUUCAUGGAAGGUCUCCCCAUAUACCAUAUGUUUAUGUACACUGCUGAACAAGGCUCUGUAAGAUCGAUGGAGAAUCAACAAGUGUUUGCGCUGUUGGCUGUGGCGAGGAGAGCUUUCUUGUGAUGGAGGAAGUUGCCACAUUAAGGUGUGCAGGCCUAAAUGUUUCGGGGGUCUUGGGGUGCUCAAUCUCGACUUCUUCAGUCAGGUGCUGCGGCUGCGUUGGGUGUGGCUGAGAUGGAACCAACAGAACAAAGGACAUUUAUGCUGGUGCGCCUCGAGGGAACUGAUCUUUCGCUGUUCGCAGCUUGCACCUCAAUCUCGGUCUGCAAUGAGACGCUUGCCAGUUUCUGGAACGACCGUUGGCUAAAUGGGCUGGAGCUGAGCUAGGCGAGCUCUUAUCCGGGGAUGAUGUCCCUUGAGUUUUGUUUUUCAUUUUAACCUCUUUGUAAUCUAAUCCUCUAUGUGUGCCUUUUUCUUCGGGGGUCCCUUGACCCCUCGGCAAUAAAUGACUCAUUAUGGCUGUUUCGUAAAAAAGAAGAUCCAUGGAGAAAAUUUGCGAGUAUGAAGGGCCGUAUGUUGGUUUUGUAAAAGGUCCAAUGAUUUUGAGAAUGUUUAUCUUGUAGCUGAUAGCAAAAAAAGCAUUGGAAUUUCUACAGUAUUCUAUGA